ACUGUACCUUAGGUCCUGAGGUCUUUCUCUAGUGUGAGUGUGUCCUGAGUCUCCAGGAAAUGAAUCAAAUUGGGAAAGAGCUGCCGUCCAUCUACAAUAGUUGGAAACUUUGUGGCUCCAAUAAAAGAUUAAUGAAGCUCAGAUGUUGUACAUGUGUUCCACACGGAACAACAGGAUGACCCAGCCCUCAGAGAUUCCAGUUCGUCUGAAUCUGCAUGUCUUUGGCCUGUGGACGGAGGACAAAGCAUUCUGGAGAGAAUCUACUCCACACAGAAAGGCCAACCCAACUGAGAACUAAAUGGCAGUUCAGCAAUUCUAUUUUAUUUUUUCUGUUUCUUCUGCUUGAAAAAAAAAUGUAUCAGCAUCCAUCAAACUAAUGACUUGUUUGAAUCUAUUUCCUUCCCAUUGCCUAAUUAAUGCUCACAUGAAAUGUUUCACAGUCUAUUGGUCACUCAGCUUUUGUGGGUGAAUGAUCAUCUCCGACCCCGUUCACUUGCGUGGAGGAACGGGAGAGAGACAGAAAAAGUGUGUGUGUAUUAAAAAGGAGAAAAAAUUGAGUGGAAAAAUCAUGACUCAGGCGUAAAAAGGAAGCAGAGAAGAAACUAAAGAUAUGCUGGAUGAGAGUGAUGAGCAAUGAUGGAAGGAAUUUCAUCAGAAGCUAAAGCUUCAGCUUUUAUUAUACAGAAUUGUCAGUCAGCACUUUGUUACUCACAUUGGGAUGAGUUCCAGAACUUAAGGGUGGUAUACAUACCAGGUAUAGGACACAUACAGUUUAUCUCUGCCAGGCUCUUCGUCACCUAGGUUUCCUUGAAGAUGCUGAUGAUGAUUGGUUUCCACCUGAGCUGGUGGAGGGAGGAGAGCUGAUUGGUUCCUGGUUGUUUGUGCGGCCACUCAAUCUCCAGGAGUUGAUUAUAUAAGGAAGUUUGAUUUCCUGCAGCAUGCAGGCUGCUUGAACUCUGCAUGAUGCUGCUUCUCAGGUUUGUGGUGGGAGAAAGGACGUGGGGGUACCUUCUACAUCCACACCUCAUAGCACAAAAGAUGUUAGUUAAGUGGUGGUUGCCACACUGUAUGCUUUUUGGAGGACACUUUGUCCUUUGUCUUUUGUCUUGAUCAGUGGAUAGUGAGGGUUUGGUUUGUGUUUUGUUUUCUUUGGCUUCUCACCUUAGUCCUGUCCUCCCCCACAGAGGUGCUCUUUUCGGUUGUUUACAAA
This is a long non-coding RNA of Solea senegalensis (Senegalese sole), 1210 nucleotides long. RefSeq lists it as uncharacterized. The transcript is spliced from 3 exons. Lineage: Eukaryota; Metazoa; Chordata; Actinopteri; Pleuronectiformes; Soleidae. The record is from RefSeq and is a predicted model, not a curated record.